CACGUAGGGCGCAAGCGUUGUCCGGAAUUAUUGGGCGUAAAGAGCUCGUAGGCGGUCUGUUGCGUCCGCUGUGAAAACUCGGGGCUUAACCCCGAGCCUGCAGUGGAUACGGGCAGACUAGAGGUAGGUAGGGGAGAAUGGAAUUCCCGGUGUAGCGGUGAAAUGCGCAGAUAUCGGGAGGAACACCGGUGGCGAAGGCGGGUCUCUGGGCCGAUAUCGACGCUGAGGAGCGAAAGCGUGGGGAGCGAACAGG
RNAcentral lists this ribosomal RNA (253 nucleotides) under uncultured bacterium. RNAcentral describes it as "partial 16S ribosomal RNA". It matches the Rfam family "Bacterial small subunit ribosomal RNA", at positions 524 to 776 of the family's 1533-position model. The record is from RNAcentral.